RNAcentral lists this ribosomal RNA (18 nucleotides) under uncultured Symbiodinium. Its description in RNAcentral is "partial 28S ribosomal RNA". Lineage: Eukaryota; Dinophyceae; Suessiales; Symbiodiniaceae. The record is from RNAcentral.
UAGCAUGAAGUCAGGCAA